This 460-nucleotide ribosomal RNA is filed under the name uncultured bacterium. RNAcentral's name for it is "partial 16S ribosomal RNA". It matches the Rfam family "Bacterial small subunit ribosomal RNA", at positions 338 to 795 of the family's 1533-position model. The record is from RNAcentral.
CCUACGGGGCGCAGCAGUGAGGAAUAUUGGUCAAUGGGCGCGAGCCUGAACCAGCCAAGUAGCGUGAAGGAUGACUGCCCUACGGGUUGUAAACUUCUUUUAUAAAGGAAUAAAGUGCGGCACGUGUGCCUCUUUGUAUGUAUUCUAUGAAUAAGGAUCGGCUAACUCCGUGCCAGCAGCCGCGGUAAUACGGAGGAUCCGAGCGUUAUCCGGAUUUAUUGGGUUUAAAGGGAGCGUAGAUGGGUUGUUAAGUCAGUUGUGAAAGUUUGCGGCUCAACCGUAAAAUUGCAAUUGAUACUGGCAGCCUUGAGUACGGUUGAGGUAGGCGGAAUUCGUGGUGUAGCGGUGAAAUGCUUAGAUAUCACGAAGAACUCCGAUUGCGAAGGCAGCCUACUAAACUGCAACUGACAUUGAUGCUCGAAAGUGUGGGUAUCAAACAGGAUUAGAUACCCGAGUAGUC